RNAcentral lists this long non-coding RNA (626 nucleotides) under Lupinus angustifolius (narrow-leaved blue lupine). RNAcentral describes it as "long non-coding RNA (LANG_LNC002527)". Lineage: Eukaryota; Viridiplantae; Streptophyta; Magnoliopsida; Fabales; Fabaceae. The record is from RNAcentral.
UUUUUAGAUAGUCUUAUCACAUAGGAUUGAUUGUAGGAUGACUGCACUUUUACUCUGAGAGCCACUGUCCUUGCGAGGAGUGUGUCAAGAAUGAGUGGGAAUGUCUUUGGAUCAUCUUCCUCUUCCUAAAAAUUAAAGAACCAUUAAUAAAGUAUAUAUGUAUUUGGUCAGUUUUUUAAUUUUUCUUGACAUGGAUAUAUAUAAAUUCAUAUAUGUAAAAAUAUAAACAGCAAGCAUAUGGUUUCAGAGCUCGGAUGCAGUAAUUCCAAUGAUGUCAACACAUUGGUGAUCCCAGAAGAAAAAUCUUCCGUUGCCAUUUUGGUGAAUAAUCUUAAUAUCCAAUUUGUACAUAAAAAAUAAAUCGAACCAUAAGGGACUAACAUGUUAACAAAAUCACAAUUUAAGUAUUAAACCUAUAUACUGAAACAGUUUUACCUUGUGGUAGACCUCUAAUUAUAAGUUCCACACUUAAAGGUGAAAGGACCAUCCUUAACCUCAGACUUCUUAGUGCAUUUUAUACAUCCAUCAUAAUACCAUCCUUGUUUCCUAACAAUAAACAUUGCAGUUGUUCCAAUAGUAACACAAGUAAUUUCCUACACAAUUUAAAAAUAUGAUGAGGACAUUAC